This 674-nucleotide ribosomal RNA is filed under the name Lentinus tigrinus. RNAcentral's name for it is "eukaryotic LSU rRNA". It matches the Rfam family "Eukaryotic large subunit ribosomal RNA", at positions 72 to 731 of the family's 3401-position model. The record is from RNAcentral. Lineage: Eukaryota; Fungi; Basidiomycota; Agaricomycetes; Polyporales; Polyporaceae.
GGAUUCCCCUAGUAACUGCGAGUGAAGCGGGAAAAGCUCAAAUUUAAAAUCUGGCGGUCUUUGGCCGUCCGAGUUGUAGUCUGGAGAAGUGCUUUCCGCGCUGGACCGUGUAUAAGUCUCUUGGAACAGAGCGUCAUAUAGGGUGAGAAUCCCGUCUUUGACACGGACUACCAGUGCUUUGUGAUGCGCUCUCAAAGAGUCGAGUUGUUUGGGAAUGCAGCUCAAAAUGGGUGGUGAAUUCCAUCUAAAGCUAAAUAUUGGCGAGAGACCGAUAGCGAACAAGUACCGUGAGGGAAAGAUGAAAAGCACUUUGGAAAGAGAGUUAAACAGUACGUGAAAUUGCUGAAAGGGAAACGCUUGAAGUCAGUCGCGUCUGCCGGAACUCAGCCUUCCUUUUGGUUGGUGCACUUUCCGGUAGACGGGCCAGCAUCGAUUUCGACCGUCGGAUAAGGGCUGGGGAAAUGUGGCACCUUCGGGUGUGUUAUAGUCCUCAGUCGCAUACGGCGGUUGGGAUCGAGGAACGCAGCGCGCCGCAAGGCAGGGGUUCGCCCACUUUCGCGCUUAGGAUGCUGGCAUAAUGGCUUUAAACGACCCGUCUUGAAACACGGACCAAGGAGUCUAACAAACCUGCGAGUGUUUGGGUGGAAAACCCGAGCGCGUAAUGAAAGUGAAAG